Molecule: long non-coding RNA, 746 nt
Organism: Aegilops tauschii subsp. strangulata
Lineage: Eukaryota; Viridiplantae; Streptophyta; Magnoliopsida; Poales; Poaceae
Source: RefSeq, a predicted model, not a curated record
CAGCACGCCUCGCCUCUCUUCGGCCCCGUCCUCCGCCUCCACCUCCACCUUUCCGCCCGAGAUCCAUGGCUACAGCGGUUGCACCGGCCCGAUGUAAGAGGCGGCCAACCCUAGCCGCUAUGGCGCCCCACUGCUGCUCACGACCUGGGCCAUGGAUCUGCGACACAGGCCUCCCUCCUUCUCCCAGGCGGCGCAGCUGCCUUGCCAUCUGAAGAUUUGGAGCAGCAAGCGCCGGAUGAGGAGAGGACGACGACCGUGACAUGCCGGAGGCCCGAGCUCGACCUCUCCGGCGACGUCAACGCCCCGCACAAGAUCGGCAGGACAUCUCCGCCUCUUCAGUUCAAUGGAAGGCGACCACCGGGACCCCACGCUCUAGCCUGACGAGCUAGCCGAGCUCGAUGGCCAGGUCCUCCGCCCCAACCACCACGAUUCCGCAGAGAACAAUAAGCCUGAACAGACUCUAACAUCGGUUUUCGUGGAGACAAAACGAGAAGCUGAUUCAUUGGGAUAUUGGCUAUACAACAGAGGUUUCCUUGCAACGGCGAUCCAUGGUGACAAAACACAGGAGGUAAGAUUGGGAAGUGAGCUACUUAUUGGUGCUGCUCAUCACAAUCAAACAUGAUGGUUGCCAUCAGGAGGGCCGACAGCAAGAACCUAAAUAACAGCCUCAAUAGUUUGUAUGAUCUGUUGAUGUAAAAUGAAUUGUACUCAUGAUGUGUGAUAUAUUUUGUCAAUAUUCAAUGCAA